AUUGAACGCUGGCGGCAGGCCUAACACAUGCAAGUCGAGCGGUUGAGGUAGCUUGCUACCGAAGCAGCGGCGAACGGGUGAGUAAUGCAUGGGAAUCUGCCUGGUAGUGGGGGACAACGUUUCGAAAGGAGCGCUAAUACCGCAUACGCCUUACGGGGGAAAGGGGGGGAUCUUCGGACCUCUCGCUAUCAGAUGAGCCCAUGUCAGAUUAGCUUGUUGGUGAGGUAAAGGCUCACCAAGGCGACGAUCUGUAACUGGUCUGAGAGGAUGAUCAGUCACACUGGAACUGAGACACGGUCCAGACUCCUACGGGAGGCAGCAGUGGGGAAUAUUGGACAAUGGGGGCAACCCUGAUCCAGCCAUGCCGCGUGUGUGAAGAAGGCCUUCGGGUUGUAAAGCACUUUCAGUGGGGAGAAAGGUCAUUCACCUAAUACGUGAGUGAAUUGAUGUUACCCACAGAAGAAGCACCGGCUAACUCCGUGCCAGCCGCCGCAGUAA
This 498-nucleotide ribosomal RNA is filed under the name uncultured bacterium. RNAcentral's name for it is "partial 16S ribosomal RNA". It matches the Rfam family "Bacterial small subunit ribosomal RNA", at positions 30 to 523 of the family's 1533-position model. The record is from RNAcentral.